CCAUGAGAAUCAUGGUAAAAUCCCCCAAGUGCAAAAUACUCUGGAUGGCAUGUGACCCUUAACUUGGACCUCAAAUAUAGCAAAGGCUACUGAAAAGGCUAAGAAACACUUCUUGGGUAUCUACUGAGCCCCAUCACUUGUGAAAGAUUAAACUCACGUAUUAGAAAUAUGUCGAGGCUAUCACUAAAAUACUAUUUUUGCUUUUUCUAGCAAAAAAAGAAGUUUCCACUACAUUGUUUUCUGUGCUUCUCAAAAGACUAAUUAUCUUAAUGGUUAGAAAUCUGCAUUUUAUUCCUGUAUAUCCAGCUUUAUCUGACCUCUACUCAACCUCAUUAUAGUUGCUUCUGCCAGCAGAUGUUACUCGUAUUUAGACACUUAAAGAAGGUCGGGUUACCACAUGGCCUGCUGAUCAAUAAGCUGAAUAAAACUUGUGCAACUCCUCUGUCAUGAUAACACUACUUUUCUGUUUCUCUAAAGACUCUUAGUGUUCAUAUGUGACCACCAAAGUUUGCACACAUAUGUGUGUAAAGCCACAAUGACAAAAAUGGAGCAGGCAAAAUAGGUUGGUGUGUUAUCACAUAGGCACCAUAUGAUCAUAUAUGAUCACUAUGUUACCAUAUUGGCACUUAUACCUGUAUGUGCCGUGACCACAAACUGAAAUAUAAAAGCAAAAUACCCAACCAGGCUGGUGUCACACCCAGGCUGGGACCUUCACAACAGAUGUCAAGAGCAGAAAGAAGACAAGGUUGCAAUAAAAGACCACGUUCAGAGAAUAUAAUUUGUCGGAAGAAAAAAGACAAGCGAGAAAGAUGGAUGCUAACUUGGGAAGAUAAUUGCAAGCUUACCUGGAAACAAAUUGUCUGAGAGUGUUUGUGCUCUGAUCAAAUCAUCUUUACAGCCAUGUUUUGUAGAGAGGCAGGCCUAUUCAGCAGAGAAUCAGAGGAGCUUGAGACACUUGGCAUCUUGCAAAAUAAGCCAAAACUGAUGUGUUCUCAAAGCGUAUAUCAGCUUUCAUAUGCAGCUCAGUGAAUCUUCUUGGUUUUCUUACUUUUGAAGAAUUAAUCAAUUUUGCAUUUGUGAAAUAACAAUUCUUAGGAGAGUAACAUAUCCCAUAAUCUACUCUAAUUGAUCUUACUAAUUCACUUAGCCAUCCCAACUGUUUUGCUGUUGUUGCCCAGUUCACAGGCUUGCUAUAACACUGUAACAGAAAACAUCAGAGUCUUGUGAGCCAACUUAUUUUUUUUUAAAUUUAUGCAAAUAAAAUUCACAAAGGCUUCUAGUUUAUAUGUGUGGGUACUGACUAGUACAAAGAAAAACCCCCAAAACAACAACAACAAAGACUGAUACCCAUUUACAAGCAUCUAAUCAGGUUUGCUGCACUCAAAAAGACCACUUUCUAUUCAUAUAAGUUUCUCUAACAAAUUGCUUUAGCAGC
This 1435-nucleotide long non-coding RNA is filed under the name Ficedula albicollis (Collared flycatcher). Its description in RNAcentral is "lncRNA (ENSFALG00000023667.1)". Lineage: Eukaryota; Metazoa; Chordata; Aves; Passeriformes; Muscicapidae. The record is from RNAcentral.